AUAUUUAUCGUUGUUCUUUCAAUGCGUCUUCGCCUCAACGUUGAACAAGGAGAUAACUUGUGAUUUACAUCCUGUUGAUGCGUGAUCGCUGAGUUUAAAAUACACUCUCGACGCGUCGGACCGAUAUGUUUAUGAAAGUCGUAAAAUCGAGAACAACGCGAGUGGCUGGAUUAUUGUCGAAAUCGUAAGGUUAUUUAUCACCACUGGUGAUAAAUCUACACGUCGAAAUCGUUCAGCAUUCGUUAAAUUCGAAACAAGAACCUCUCCGCAAAAAUGCAUACCAUCUUUGCGCUUUUCGUUAUAACGAGCGGCUUCAUCACGGACAUGUGUGCCAACUAUUUAAGGGACAGAUUACCAAAUCUACAUACAUGUCCGAAAUCGCGACUCCAAGCAUGCUUACCGCGAAGCUUGGAUUCGAUGAGGCCUUACUUAGCGCAGAGUGUUCCGUAACUAAGUAUAGAUUCUUUCGAAAUUCCGUAAUUAAGUAUACCUUCUUUCGAGCCAUAUUAUACGCAAUUUUAUAAGAUGACCUUCGAAAACCAGUAUAUCCCUAUGAUAAAGUUUAGUGAUACAUAUAUCAACGGUAUAUCAAACUUCACGAUAACUAGAGUCAGAGUUGUCGAGGAUCAUUAUAUUGAGUUUCUGGCGCACUUUCCAUUCGUCAGUGUGUCCACAAGUUCAAUGCAUACGUCUCAUAUGCGUCUCCUACGCUUAUUAAAAGUAGCAGAUACAGAUUAAAUAGCAAUUUUAGGAACGUCGUUGCUGAAAUUAUUAUACGAGGUAGGCAUUUUGAGAACGAAGAACAAUAUUUUUAGGUGAACAACGUCACCGUGGCAAUCUUAAAGUUUGAAGGGAUGAAGACUAAUAAACAACAAAGAGGUACACUCGAAUACCUAAUGCAGUUGGCAAAUGAUUAUCUUGCACUUGAGUGGGAUCCAUUGACUUACGAAAUAAUUUAUAACAUCAAAAACAUUGCAGCUGAGUUUAUCCAGACCAUUUGGAAUAGAAUUUACACGAAUUUCCCAACUGUUAUGUUAACGUCUCGUUAAAACGCAUCGUCUUGAUUUUAUUGUCAUGAUGAAGAGAUUAAUCAUUUUAUAAUGAGUGUAACUUGCUAGCACAAUUAGUUGUGCAUUACUCAUUUAUUAUUUUGAUACGGAGAUUCGUAUAUGCUGCUUUAGAAAAUGGCUUUUUCUUCCAAUGGGGUUCGGUGCGCAUCAAAUGCGAACGAAUGCUCGCGGGUUUGCGGUUGUGACAGAACUCGCAUGAUAGUACACUAUG
Long non-coding RNA from Harpegnathos saltator (Jerdon's jumping ant), 1281 nucleotides. RefSeq lists it as uncharacterized. The transcript is spliced from 3 exons. NCBI's taxonomy places the organism in Eukaryota, Metazoa, Arthropoda, Insecta, Hymenoptera, Formicidae. The record is from RefSeq and is a predicted model, not a curated record.